AAGGGAAUGUGGUCAAAUGCCGCAACAGCCCCCGCUACUGUAGGCACGGACAAUUGAUACAAUGCCACUUGAUAGUUAUCAGGGAAGGGUAUCAGGAGAAAGAAGUGCGAGUCAGGAUAUCU
Molecule: non-coding RNA, 122 nt
Filed under: Clostridiales bacterium
Lineage: Bacteria; Bacillati; Bacillota; Clostridia; Eubacteriales
Source: RNAcentral